GCAGGUGUAGUACAGCGGUUAGUAUACAAGUUUUCCAAACUUGAAACGAGAGUUCGACUCUCUCCACCUGCACCA
Molecule: transfer RNA, 75 nt
Filed under: Candidatus Saccharimonadota bacterium
Lineage: Bacteria; Candidatus Saccharimonadota
Description: tRNA-Gly
Rfam family: tRNA
About the family: Transfer RNA (tRNA) molecules are approximately 80 nucleotides in length. Their secondary structure includes four short double-helical elements and three loops (D, anti-codon, and T loops). Further hydrogen bonds mediate the characteristic L-shaped molecular structure. tRNAs have two regions of fundamental functional importance: the anti-codon, which is responsible for specific mRNA codon recognition, and the 3' end, to which the tRNAs corresponding amino acid is attached (by aminoacyl-tRNA synthetases). tRNAs cope with the degeneracy of the genetic code in two manners: having more than one tRNA (with a specific anti-codon) for a particular amino acid; and 'wobble' base-pairing, i.e. permitting non-standard base-pairing at the 3rd anti-codon position.
Source: RNAcentral